GGGAAGGAUGAGAAGCUUCGACUAAGGUUCGACUCGAGCGAAGCGAGAGAACGUUGCCGCAGGCAACGGCCCGAAGGGCGAGGCGCUUUAGCGCCGAGUAAUCCUUCCCCCACCAUCA
RNAcentral lists this small RNA (118 nucleotides) under Klebsiella pneumoniae. RNAcentral's name for it is "RtT sRNA". It matches the Rfam family "RtT RNA", at positions 15 to 130 of the family's 130-position model. Rfam says of the family: This family represents a bacterial cis-regulatory element known as RtT RNA. Lineage: Bacteria; Pseudomonadati; Pseudomonadota; Gammaproteobacteria; Enterobacterales; Enterobacteriaceae. The record is from RNAcentral.